RNAcentral lists this non-coding RNA (26 nucleotides) under Rattus norvegicus (Norway rat). The record is from RNAcentral. Lineage: Eukaryota; Metazoa; Chordata; Mammalia; Rodentia; Muridae.
UGGAGCCAUAACUGGAGUAACUGUCU